Hibiscus syriacus is the source of this 519-nucleotide long non-coding RNA. RefSeq lists it as uncharacterized. The transcript has 2 exons. NCBI's taxonomy places the organism in Eukaryota, Viridiplantae, Streptophyta, Magnoliopsida, Malvales, Malvaceae. The record is from RefSeq and is a predicted model, not a curated record.
ACCCUCACUUCCUCUCUUCGCUCAAACGGUGACAACCCCCAAAGAGCCCAACGUCGGACGCCACAGAAAGGAGGCCGUUCUCGCUCUUAACUCCGACCGAGUACGGUCUCAAACUACCCAAACACCCUUAAACUCUCCAUCUCCCUCUCCCCUUUCAUCUUCUUCUACCGAGAACCAACCCACUAAUAACCACCAUGCACGGUGGAUCACCAACCCUAAACUAAAACCGAUUACCCCAUCUCCUCUCCUAUGGCACUGCUACCCCGAAGAACCCAACGGCCACAAGCAGGGGGUGAGGAAGCAAGUAUAGAUGCUGUGAGGAAUGGUACUGGCACUGGCACUGUGGAGCAGGGCAUGGGUCUGCUGGCAGUGGGUGUGGCGUUGGCAGCUGGCACAGCAUGGAUUCUUUGCUCGACUUCUCUUUCUCUUUUUUUAUUAAUAUAUAUUUGGGUACAAAAAUUGGUGAUUACAAGAAAUAUGGAAGAUUGGAUCCAUAGUUCCAUGAAUGUUGUUUCAUCA